GGUUGUGGCUCAGUGGUAGAGUGCUUGCCUAGCAUGUGUGAGGCACUGGGUUUGAUCCCUGGCACCA
RNAcentral lists this transfer RNA (67 nucleotides) under Marmota monax (woodchuck). RNAcentral's name for it is "tRNA.Ala". The record is from RNAcentral. Lineage: Eukaryota; Metazoa; Chordata; Mammalia; Rodentia; Sciuridae.